UAGGGAAUCUUCGGCAAUGGGGGCAACCCUGACCGAGCAACGCCGCGUGAGUGAAGAAGGUUUUCGGAUCGUAAAGCGCUGUUGUAAGAGAAGAACGUGUGUGAGAGUGGAAAGUUCACACAGUGACGGUAACUUACCAGAAAGGGACGGCUAACUACGUGCCAGCAGCCGCGGUAAUACGUAGGUCCCGAGCGUUGUCCGGAUUUAUUGGGCGUAAAGCGAGCGCAGGCGGUUUAAUAAGUCUGAAGUUAAAGGCAGUGGCUUAACCAUUGUUCGCUUUGGAAACUGUUAGACUUGAGUGCAGAAGGGGAGAGUGGAAUUCCUUGUGUAGCGGUGAAAUGCGUAGAUAUAUGGAGGAACACCGGUGGCGAAAGCGGCUCUCUGGUCUGUAACUGACGCUGAGGCUCGAAAGCGUGGGGAGCAAACAGG
This 429-nucleotide ribosomal RNA is filed under the name bacterium. Its description in RNAcentral is "partial 16S ribosomal RNA". It matches the Rfam family "Bacterial small subunit ribosomal RNA", at positions 355 to 776 of the family's 1533-position model. The record is from RNAcentral.